This 375-nucleotide unclassified non-coding RNA is filed under the name uncultured fungus. RNAcentral's name for it is "partial contains small subunit ribosomal RNA, internal transcribed spacer 1, and 5.8S ribosomal RNA". The stretch from base 1 to 73 matches the Rfam family "Eukaryotic small subunit ribosomal RNA", at positions 1759 to 1831 of the family's 1831-position model. The record is from RNAcentral. Lineage: Eukaryota; Fungi.
UCAAACUUGGUCAUUUAGAGGAAGUACAAGUCGUAACAAGGUAUCCGUAGGUGAACCUGCGGAUGGAUCAUUACCAAAGGAUUAAUCUCCGUGUCUUGUGAACUGUUUUGAUCGACAGUCAGCGGGCUGUGUAAGUGAGCGACAUGCUUACUGUAGCAGAAGUGUUACAGUAGGCCUUACUGUAGGGGUUUGACGCGAUCCGUUAGUUACUAUAGCUUACGGCAGUGUUUUACCUUACGGUAGGCUUACGGUAGCUACCGCUGGCUGUACAAACAAACGUACUGCUUUUAGCAAGCCUGAUGUCUUUUAAGUUGUAUAACUAAGACAACUUUUAGCAAUGGAUCUCUUGGCUCUUGCAUCGAUGAAGAACGCAGC